GCAUGCUCACUUUGGCAUUGCAUAUGCUAAAACUGGAAUGAUAUAGAGAAGAUUAGCAUGGAGCUUGCAAAAGGAUGACAUGCAAAUUCGUGAAGCAUUCCAUAUUUUU
Molecule: small nuclear RNA, 109 nt
Filed under: Salvator merianae (Argentine black and white tegu)
Lineage: Eukaryota; Metazoa; Chordata; Lepidosauria; Squamata; Teiidae
Source: RNAcentral